AAUGAACGCUGGCGGCGCGCCUAAUACAUGCAAGUCGAGCGAGAAGACGUAGCAAUACGUUUGUAAAGCGGCGAACGGGUGAGGAAUACAUGGGUAACCUACCCUAGAGUGGGGAAUAACUAGCCGAAAGGUUAGCUAAUACCGCGUACGCUCCUUGGACUUCGGUUCAGGGAGGAAAGCGAUGCCGAGGGUAUCGCGCUCUUGGAUGGGCUCAUGUCCUAUCAGCUGUUGGUGAGGUAACGGCUCACCAAGGCUUCGACGGGUAGCUGGUCUGAGAGGACGAUCAGCCACACUGGCACUGCGACACGGGCCAGACUCCUACGGGAGCAGCAGUAAGGAUAUUGCGCAAUGGGCGAAAGCCUGACGCAGCGACGCCGCGGUGGGGGA
Molecule: ribosomal RNA, 387 nt
Filed under: uncultured bacterium
Lineage: Bacteria
Description: bacterial SSU rRNA
Rfam family: Bacterial small subunit ribosomal RNA
Source: RNAcentral